AUAGGAACAUGGGGACAUGUGGACAGCCCUGACCUAAACAGGGACAGUCACCACUAAGAUUGUUACCAUGUGGAAUGUUAGCCAAUUUAAUUAGUUCUUGAAGGGUUUCAAGAGACACUUGGUAAGACUUUCCAAUUUGCUUCUUAUGAUCUCUGGAGGCUAAACCAAGCAUGUCUUCAGAGUAAUCCAGUGUGCAGAUGGCCAUCCAUUACGCCAGACUUAAAGGAGCAUGCCCCAGAUUGGGACAGCAUGACUGAGCAUUCAGCUGAAAGGUCACGCAAGAAUCCAGCAUGUCUCACGGAAAGAUCUCACAGGAGCUGCAGGUAACUCUCCUAAAGCACAGUCUACUCUCAGAUACUGCCAGAAGGAAGAUUCCAUCCAGAAACCGUGCACCUAAGGAUGCUAAUCAACUUGUUUUCCCCCCUCCAGGUGGUUAUGACUCUAAAAAUGUCUGAAAUUGGUUUCAUUAGCCAUUGCAUCCAAGUAUGAGCUAUGCUCAGUUGCUCGCAGAUACUCUGUGAUGGCAGACAUUAGAGACCCCGAAAUGGCAGCUGUUCAAAAUCUGCCUUCACUCAGAUUCAGUUCCAUGGAAAGAGAUCCAUGAGUGAGAUUUGGACACUAUCAGCCGAGAUUGACCCACAAAACCACAGUCGCAAGACUCUUACUCUCAGGAGGACCCAGUGCGGGGGCCUCAUCUGCUGACACUGGGCUCACUGCAGGCGAUGGCAGGAUUCCUAGGGAACUGUGAACCCUGUGGAUGCUGGCAGAACAGAGUGUACGGCUAAUCGUGGGAGCUCCUCCGCACCCUGUUUGAUUCCAAGAGGCGGUGGAAGUGGGACCAAAUGAGGAAACCCGCAUUUGUAGGAAGCUGUCUUCCUCUGCAGAAAACAAGCAAUGUAAAAUAAUAAAUAGAUAGAUAGUUAAAAAGUAGUGAUAACGAAAUUUGAAAGCUAGGUGAAAGAAUGCCAACAUAAACAUAAUUGGAGUCUGAGAAGAAAAAAUCCAUAAUAGUGAAACAGUGGGAAUACUUAACGGACAUUAUUCAAGGGCACCUUCCUGAAACAAACAAAAGAGGUUAAUUUCAUACUGAAAGGGCUCACAACGUACCAACGAGAAUAGACCCCAAACAGUUAGAACCAAGAUUUAUUUUAGGAAACUUACUGAACCUCCCAAAUGAAGAAUCUCUGUCCUGGGCGGCCAAGCAAGCAUAGCCAGCCAUGGAUGAGAGACACAAUUCAGGCUGGCCUCAGGGCUCUGCACAGCAGCGUCACUGCUAGAGGACGGUGUAGCACCACCUAAACAUUCCUCACACAAAGACGGAGUGAUUCGGACGUUUGUCCCCAGCCGCGCUGCUGUUCGGCACAGAGGAGACGCUCGCAGCUGUGGGCCAGCAGCACCUUCCGUGAUGUUUUUCUCAUGAGCUAUUCCUGAAGGACUCACUAAUGAAAAACGUCACACAACCAGGGAAAUAACCAAAUAACAAAGGAAAAGACUGUUGGUGAAAAUUGAAUUUAUUUAGCCACGGAAAUAAAAUUAAAACAAAAACAGGGACUAGGGUGACAGGUUAGAUUGGAGAUGGUCUAAGGGCUGCUGACAAAAUGAAAGCAUAACUAGAAGAAAGUUGGGGGGAGGAAAAAAAGACACGAGUACAUAGUUGUAUAUUUUAGUUGUAGGUCCUUCUAGUUGUGGCACGUGGGACGCCACCUCAGCAUGGCCUGAUGAGCAGUGCCAUGUCUGCACCCAGGAUCCGAACCCGUGAAACCCUGGGCCACCGAAGCGGAGCAUGUGAACUUAACCACUCAGCCACGGGGCUGGCCCCAGAAAUAAACCUUUUCAAGUGCUCAUAGAACAGUCACAAAAUGUGAUACAUUGGAUCAAAAAGAAAACUUCAGUAAAUUCUAAAAAUCAUAAGUACAGCUAUUAUCUUGUUUAAUGUGAUAAAACUGGAAUUUAGUAGCACGCCAAGAAAACAAAAAGUCCUCACCACCCGGACUUCAAGGUGUUCUCAAACUAUUUGCCAGAAAAGAAAAUCAAAUGUAAAUGUCAGAAUAACUAUAAAUAACAACAACAACAAGAGUAAAAACAAUACCAAUUCCGCAUAUCAACUUUUGGGAUACAGCUAAAGCAGGAUUCAGAGAAAAAAAUCACGAAUUUAAGUACAGGGGAGAAAGCACAGACACAUAAAAAGGAAAUGAUGAGGGGGAUGAUGAGCAGGAAUGCCAGGGGCUUCUGACCCGUGUGGCCUCGGGGCCAGCUUCCUGGAAAGGAUUUUGAAAAGAUUUUGCUCUUUGAUUUGAAGAUUAUCUCGGCUCAUCUAGAUUGCUUGGCCUGCAUCUUCAAAUUGGUCUGAUCCCCAAACUAUGUCUCUUCUUGAGUCAGAAUUUCAGAUUGCUCAGAUUUUUCUUAGUCUAGACUCUAGAUUAACUGUGGUUCUUUAUUGUUCAGUACAACAUCCUUGUUUUCCACACAUUUGAUAGAAUGGACAGUGAGAGGGGAAGAGAGAGGCUACGGGCAGGAGACACUGUGUAGUGGAAGCCGGAGAAAAGGUAGGCAGAUUCCAGUUAAUUUUCAGUUUUUCUUUGUUAUGGUAUGGCCCAAAUAAUUCGUAAUGAUUUGAUACGUGAAUAGUUUGCUUGCAUCUUUCUGUAUGUCCACAAUGUUUAUGUCAUAAACACUUAUUAAGCAGGUGACUGGCUUUGGUUGCUUAUGGAUUCUAGGCGGUUAGCUUUUGAUGGAGAGCUUGGAACUACACCCGCCCUGGUGGGAGAAGCCACGCUGUAGACUCCUGAAGAUCCAACAGGCUUGCCUUCACGGCAGAGUUCUGGGGAAAAGGUCUGGUCUCCUCAUUGGUCUCCUGGUUAACCAGAAACUCCUUCAUCUGCUCUUGUACUCUGGCCAGUUAUCGCAAGUCCAUCCAACCCCUCGGUUUGAUCUGAGGACCAUUUACAAUAGAUUCCAUUGAGUGUUCUUGUUACAAAUGCAUGUUACUGGCUCCUGUUGAAUCGUAAAUUCUGAGCCUACAGCUGGGGAAUCUGCAUUUUUAGCAAUAUUUUAUGCACUAUAGUUUAACAAUUGCUCCUCUAGAGGGACAUGUGACCCAGAACACCAUUUGGAAAUGUUGAAGGAAGAUGCUAGUGCAAUUGUUCCCCAAAUUUAUUACUCACUGGAAACAUCAGAAGAAACAUUUGGAAAUGCGGAUCUCAGCUACAUCAGAGCCUCAGUUGUUCAGAAUCUUUGAGAGCAGGGGUAGAACUUUGGAAUCUGGACAAGUCACAGAUGAUUUUUCAGCAGGACCAGCGUUUGGAGCCUUAAUGGAGAAAUCUCUCAAUUCCUGGCAUUAGGUGCCAACUUCACGUUUACCAUAUGCAUGUUUUUCUUUAUUGAAUUAUACUAUCAUUUUCAACCACUUUGCAUUCUUUUACUUUUUAAAAUUGUAUAAUUUAUAUACAGCAAAAUUCAUUCUUUUUGGUGCAUAGUUGUGUGAGUUUUGAGAAACACAUGCAGUCAUGUAACCCCAACCACAAUUAAAAUACAGAAAAUUCCUUUACCCGCCAAAAUUCUCUGGUGCCCUUAUUAUCAUCCCAACCCCAAACCCAGCCCCUGGCAACCACUGACCUAUUGACUUUCCCUGUAAGUUUUGGUGUAGAAUACUUAUGUGAUAUUCCGAAAAUCAUGUAAAUGGGUUUGCAAACGCAGCCUCUGAGCCGG
Long non-coding RNA from Equus caballus (horse), 3708 nucleotides. Lineage: Eukaryota; Metazoa; Chordata; Mammalia; Perissodactyla; Equidae. The record is from Ensembl.